Molecule: ribosomal RNA, 253 nt
Filed under: uncultured bacterium
Lineage: Bacteria
Description: partial 16S ribosomal RNA
Rfam family: Bacterial small subunit ribosomal RNA
Source: RNAcentral
UACGUAGGGGGCAAGCGUUGUCCGGAAUUAUUGGGCGUAAAGAGCUCGUAGGCGGUCUGUCGCGUCGGCCGUGAAAUCUCCACGCUUAACGUGGAGCGUGCGGUCGAUACGGGCAGACUUGAGUUCGGUAGGGGAGACUGGAAUUCCUGGUGUAGCGGUGAAAUGCGCAGAUAUCAGGAGGAACACCGGUGGCGAAGGCGGGUCUCUGGGCCGAUACUGACGCUGAGGAGCGAAAGCGUGGGGAGCGAACAGG